RNAcentral lists this transfer RNA (77 nucleotides) under Campylobacter sp. RNAcentral describes it as "tRNA-Pro". It matches the Rfam family "tRNA". From Rfam's summary of the family: Transfer RNA (tRNA) molecules are approximately 80 nucleotides in length. Their secondary structure includes four short double-helical elements and three loops (D, anti-codon, and T loops). The record is from RNAcentral. Lineage: Bacteria; Pseudomonadati; Campylobacterota; Epsilonproteobacteria; Campylobacterales; Campylobacteraceae. RNAcentral also lists the same sequence under 4 other names.
CGGGGCGUAGCGCAGUCUGGUAGCGCACUUGGUUUGGGACCAAGGGGCCGAAGGUUCGAAUCCUUUCGCCCCGACCA